ACGAUGUCUACUAGUUGUUGGGUCUUAAUUGACUUAGUAACGCAGCUAACGCGUGAAGUAGACCGCCUGGGGAGUACGGUCGCAAGAUUAAAACUCAAAGGAAUUGACGGGGACCCGCACAAGCGGUGGAUGAUGUGGAUUAAUUCGAUGCAACGCGAAAAACCUUACCUACCCUUGACAUGGCAGGAAUCCCGGAGAGAUUUGGGAGUGCUCGAAAGAGAACCUGCACACAGGUGCUGCAUGGCUGUCGUCAGCUCGUGUCGUGAGAUGUUGGGUUAAGUCCCGCAACGAGCGCAACCCUUGUCAUUAGUUGCUACGCAAGAGCACUCUAAUGAGACUGCCGGUGACAAACCGGAGGAAGGUGGGGAUGACGUCAAGUCCUCAUGGCCCUUAUGGGUAGGGCUUCACACGUCAUACAAUGGUACAUACAGAGGGCCGCCAACCCGCGAGGGGGAGCUAAUCCCAGAAAGUGUAUCGUAGUCCGGAUUGUAGUCUGCAACUCGACUACAUGAAGUUGGAAUCGCUAGUAAUCGCGGAUCAGCAUGUCGCGGUGAAUACGUUCCCGGGUCUUGUACACACCGCCCGUCACACCAUGGGAGCGGGUUUUACCAGAAGUAGGUAGCUUAACCGCAAGGAGGGCGCUUACCACGGUAGGAUUCGUGACUGGGGUGAAGUCGUAACAAGGUAACCA
Molecule: ribosomal RNA, 691 nt
Filed under: bacterium enrichment culture clone ADE_71
Lineage: Bacteria
Description: bacterial SSU rRNA
Rfam family: Bacterial small subunit ribosomal RNA
Source: RNAcentral